Molecule: long non-coding RNA, 217 nt
Filed under: Lathyrus oleraceus (garden pea)
Lineage: Eukaryota; Viridiplantae; Streptophyta; Magnoliopsida; Fabales; Fabaceae
Description: Pisum sativum (pea) long non-coding RNA (PSAT_LNC030148)
Source: RNAcentral
GCAUAAUUCACUUGGUCGGUGUUCAGGUCGUUUAAAAGGUUACACUCUGCUUAUUUGUGUCCUUUAGAUCCACAGAGUUCGCACUCUGUGUGGACUACUACUACGGUGUUAGUGUUCGUAGACAUAUGUUCAAUCCUAAGGGCUAAAGCGUCCAUUUUCGCCUGCAUCAUGUCUAGAGAGCUUAUCUCAUGUAUUCCACCUUGGGUCUCCUUUUUCU